Molecule: long non-coding RNA, 3958 nt
Filed under: Canis lupus familiaris (dog)
Lineage: Eukaryota; Metazoa; Chordata; Mammalia; Carnivora; Canidae
Description: lncRNA (ENSCAFG00000053455.1)
Source: RNAcentral
UUUUUUAAAUUUUAGUCUUUCUAAUAUGUAUGUAGUGGUAUUGCAUUGUGGCUUUAAUUUGCAUUUCCCCAAUGCCUAAUGAUAUUGAACAGCUUUUCAUGUGCUUAUUUUACCUUCCACAUAUCUUCUUUGGUGGAUUUUCUUUCUUUUUCUUUUCUUUUUUUUUUUUUUUUUAAGAUUUUAUUUAUUCAUGAGAGACACACAGAGAGAGAGAGAGAGAGAGAGAGAGAGGCAGAGAUAUAGGCAGAAGGAGAAGCAGGCUCCACUCAGGGAACCUGAUGCGGGACCCGAUCCUGGGACUCCAGGAUCACGCCCUGGGCUGAAGGCAGAAGCUAAACCACUGAGCCACCCGGGCUGCCCUUUGGUGGAUUUUCUAUCCAGAUAUUUUGCCCAUUUUUUAGUUGGGUUGCUUGUUCUAAAUAUCAGGCUUUAAGAGUUCUUUAUAUAUUCUGAUACUGUGAAGCACAAGGCAAAGCCAGUCUUCCAGAUUCAGCUAGUAAAGAAACAAUGAGCCCUUUUUUGACUCAGUUUACUCUUUACAUUGAGUGAAAAGACAAGUAGCUUAAAAGAAUCAGCUCUCUGUGGCCUUUGUGUGGGAUGACACUGAAACAAAAGAAGCCAUAAGAGUCCCGAUGAGUAUAGUAGGAAUGAUAGGAUGCUCUAUUGCUGAGGAUUCCAUUCCAUGGUGCUGCUCAUCACUUUUAUAGCUAUACAUGUGCCUUAAUGCUAGCAAAGCAGAAAAGCCACAUAACCGAUAAGAACCCUGAAAUUAUGAGUGCUAUCUCAGGACUCUCCAGGGUUGAUAGGGAAGCCAGAGAGAAGUAGCCUUAUAGCAGCACCUCUCAGAUCUCCCAUGCUCUCAUGUUCCAGGGGGACCACAAGGCAUUCUGUCAAGAUUCAGCUGCUAUUCAAGCCUUGCCCAGGUGGCCCAUGUGGCAACAUGUGAAGUCAUCAGGCUCUGGCUCUUCCUCAAUAGAUACAAGUCUUUUGUCAUAUAUGUGACUUGUAAAUAUUUUCUCCCUAUCUGUAGCUAGUUCUGAGAUGGGUUUCAUAGAACAAAAAUUUUAACUUUGAUGAAUUCAGAUUUAUAAAUUUUUUUCUUGUGAAUUUGUAUCAUAUCUAAGAACCUUUUGCUCAAACUCAAGUCAUUAAAUUUUUCUCAUAUGUUUUCUUCCAAGUAUUUUGUAUUUUACAUUUUUCAUUUAGGGUUUCCAAGAUGGCUCACUCAGUUAAGGGUCCAACUCUUGAUCUCAGCUCAGGUCUUGAACUCAGGAUUGUGAAUUUUAGCCUGCAUUGGGCUCUACAUAAACAAACAAAAAACCAUUUAGAUCUAUAUUCCAUGUAGUAGUUUUUAUAGCACAUAAGGUUUAUGUAUAUAAUGGAAUAUUAGCCAUUUAGAAAUGACAAAUACCCACCAUUUGCUUCAACGUGGAUGGAACUGGAGGGUAUUAUGCUGAGUGAAGUAAGUCAAUCGGAGAAGGACAAACAUUAUAUGUUCUCAUUCAUUUGGGGAAUAUAAACAAUAGUGAAAGGGAAUAUAAGGGAAGGGAGAAGAAAUGUGUGGGAAAUAUCAGAAAGGGAGACAGAACAUAAAGACUCCUAACUCUGGGAAACGAACUAGGGGUGGAGGAAGGGGAGGAGGGCGGGGGGUGGGGGUGAAUGGGUGACGGGCACUGAGGGGGACACUUGACGGGAUGAGCAUACCAACUGUAUGUUGGUAAAUUGAACACCAAUAAAAAAUUAAUUUAUUAAAAGAUUUAUGUCAAGGUGCAUUUUUUUUUACUGAUGUAUAAUUCUGCUAGCGCCACUUGUUGAAAAGAGCAUGCUUGUUUUCAUCGACUUUCUUUUAAACUUUUGUGAAAAGUCAAUUGACCAUAUUCGUGUGGGUUUAUUUCUGGACUAUGUUCUGUUUCAUUGAUCUAUACAUCUCCUUCUUUGUCUUGGAGGGGUUUUAUGGAAGAUCUUAGAAUAAGAUAAUGCCAUUCCUCUAAUUUUAUUCUUCUUUUUCAAAAUUGUUUUGGCUGUUCUAAUCCUUUUCCCUUUCCAUACUAAUUUUUUUUAAUUUUUAUUUAUUUAUGAUAGUCACUUCACAGAGAGAGGCAGAGAGAGAAGCAGGCUCCAUGCACCGGGAGCCCCACGUGGGAUUCGAUCCCAGGUCUCCAGGAUCGCGCCCUGGGCCAAAGGCAGGCGCUAAGCCGCUGCGCCACCCAGGGUUCCCUCCAUACUAAUUUUUGAUUCAACUUUAUGUUUACAAAAUAUCCUGCUAGGGUUUUGAUUGGAAUUACAGUAAGUCUGUUAAUCAUUCUGAAGGAAUUUGCCAUUUUUACUAUGUUUAAUCUUCCAAUUCGUGAAUGGGAAUGACUCAAUUUAUUUAGAUCUUCUUUAUUUCUUCAGCAUUUUGUAGUUUUCAGCAUAGAGCAGCAUAGAGAUUCUAUAUGUGUUCAUUAUGCAUACAAUUUCUUUUUUCCUUUUUUUUUUUUUUUUUUUAGGGGAACAGCUACUGUAAAUUGUAUUGAUGUUUAGUUAUGACUUAAAGGUUUGUUUUGUUUUAAGGAGAGAGGGAGCACAAUGGCAGAAGGAGAGGGAGGAUCUUCAGCUAGGCAUGGAGCCUGACUCAGGGCUCAAUCUUACAACCCUGAGAUCAUGACCUGAGCUGAAACCAAGAGUUGGUAGCAUAAAUGACUGAGCUACCCAGGCACUCUGGCUUACAGGUUUCUGUUGCCAAUAUAAUUGAUUCUUGUUUGUUGACCUUGCAUCCUAUCUAUAAAUUCUAGGGGCUUUUCUGGGGAUUUUUUGUUGUUUGUUUUUUUUUUUUUUUUUCCUUUAGAUUCCCUGGGUUUUUCUAGAUAGACAAUAAUGUCAUCCACGAAUAGGGAUAGUUUAUUUCUUUUUAACCUGUAUGUCUUUUAUUAUUUUUUCUUUCUUUCUUCUAUUUUUCUCUGCCUUCUUUUCUUUCUCUCCCUCCAUUUCAUUCCUUCCUUUCUUUUUUUCUUAUUAUAGGACUUCCACUACAAUAUUAGCAUAGGAAUUGUGAAAAUGGACCUUCUUGUUUAUUUCUGAUCUUAGGGGGAAAGCAUUAUAACUUUCACAUUAAAUACAGGUUUUAAGUAGAUUUUUAGUAGAUGCCAUUGACCAGGUUUAAGUGGUUCUACUGUGUUCCUAAUUUGAUUAGAGUUUUUAACCAUUAAUGGAUGUUGAAUUCUGUUAAAUGCUUUUCAGUGUCAAUGGAUAUAAUCAUAUGGUUUUUCUUCUUUAGAGUGUUAAUAUUGUGGAUUACAUUGAUUGUAUUUUGAAUAUUGAACCAACCUUGCAUUUCUGCAAUAAACCCCAUAUGGUCAUUCUGUGUUAUGAUAUUUAAAUAUUGAUUCUCUUAAUAUAAUUUACUGGGAAUUUUUGCAUCUACAUAAGGAACAUUUAAAUGUAUUUUUUCUUCUUGAACUGUCUUUUCCUGCUUUAUUGUUAAAGUAAUGCUAAUCUUGAAAAAUGAUUUGGGAAUUAUUUCUUUUUCCUCCAUGCUAUUGAUUUGUUAGAAAAAACUUAGUCAUUUGUUUUGUGGAAUAUCCACCAUUAUUGAUACGCCUGAUUGAUCUUCCAUGGUGAUUUUAAUUUAUUAUUUUAUUUUAUUUAUCAUUUUCCUGUAAACUGAUAGAGCAAAAGAUUUGAUUAGAUUCAGGCCCAAUACUUUGGCCCAGAAAAUGUAAAGGGUGCUUUGAAUAUUUCAAUGCAUUGUGCUAGGAACAUAAAAUAUGUAAUUGUCUUAGAAAUACUGAGAUUGAUCAAUAGACUCAGAUAUUAUUAGUCUGAUACUUCCAUAAAAUUCCCUGUCAACAUUUUACCUAAUAAUUGUCUACUGAUAAUUAUUUAUAAAAUUCAUGAUUUCAUUUGGAGUUGUAAAGGAUGAUUUUGUAAUUUUUAACUCCUUUUGCAUGGAUUAACUUUCAUAAAGAACUUUCAUCAA